Molecule: ribosomal RNA, 429 nt
Filed under: uncultured bacterium
Lineage: Bacteria
Description: bacterial SSU rRNA
Rfam family: Bacterial small subunit ribosomal RNA
Source: RNAcentral
UAGGGAAUCUUCCACAAUGGGCGAAAGCCUGAUGGAGCAACGCCGCGUGAGCGAAGAAGGUCUUCGGAUCGUAAAGCUCUGUUGUAAGGGAAGAACAAGCGCAGCAGUCACUGGCUGCGCCCUGACGGUACCUUACUAGAAAGCCACGGCUAACUACGUGCCAGCAGCCGCGGUAAUACGUAGGUGGCAAGCGUUGUCCGGAAUUAUUGGGCGUAAAGCGCGCGCAGGCGGUCUCUUAAGUCUGAUGUGAAAGCCCCCGGCUCAACCGGGGAGGGUCAUUGGAAACUGGGAGACUUGAGUGCAGGAGAGGGAAGUGGAAUUCCAUGUGUAGCGGUGAAAUGCGUAGAGAUAUGGAGGAACACCAGUGGCGAAGGCGGCUUCCUGGCCUGUAACUGACGCUGAGGCGCGAAAGCGUGGGGAGCAAACAGG